RNAcentral lists this ribosomal RNA (313 nucleotides) under uncultured bacterium. RNAcentral describes it as "bacterial SSU rRNA". It matches the Rfam family "Bacterial small subunit ribosomal RNA", at positions 28 to 334 of the family's 1533-position model. The record is from RNAcentral.
GAUGAACGCUGGCGGCGUGCCUAACACAUGCAAGUCGAACGGGCUUAUAUUGAAACCUAGUGAUUUAUAAGUUAGUGGCGGACGGGUGAGUAACGCGUGGAUAACCUGCCGUAUACAGGGGGAUAACACUUAGAAAUAGGUGCUAAUACCGCAUAAGCGCACAGCUUCGCAUGGAGCAGUGUGAAAAACUCCGGUGGUAUACGAUGGAUCCGCGUCUGAUUAGCCAGUUGGCGGGGUAAAGGCCCACCAAAGCGACGAUCAGUAGCCGGCCUGAGAGGGUGGACGGCCACAUUGGGACUGAGACACGGCCCAG